UACGUAGGGUGCGAGCGUUGUCCGGAAUUACUGGGCGUAAAGAGCUCGUAGGUGGUUUGUCGCGUUGUCCGUGAAAACUCACAACUCAAUUGUGGGCGUGCGGGCGAUACGGGCAGACUGGAGUACUGCAGGGGAGACUGGAAUUCCUGGUGUAGCGGUGAAAUGCGUAGAUAUCGAGAGGAACACCUGCGGCGAAGGCGGGUUGCUGGGCUGACACUGACGCUGAUUGUGCGAAAGCUAGGGGAGCGAACGGG
This 254-nucleotide ribosomal RNA is filed under the name uncultured bacterium. RNAcentral's name for it is "partial 16S ribosomal RNA". It matches the Rfam family "Bacterial small subunit ribosomal RNA", at positions 524 to 776 of the family's 1533-position model. The record is from RNAcentral.